This 896-nucleotide long non-coding RNA is filed under the name Callithrix jacchus (white-tufted-ear marmoset). Its description in RNAcentral is "lncRNA (ENSCJAG00000070454.1)". Lineage: Eukaryota; Metazoa; Chordata; Mammalia; Primates; Cebidae. The record is from RNAcentral.
AUUCACAUACAUCCCAUGACACACAUUACUGGUAGAUAUUACUAACGCCAAAAUUCUUUUUCCCUCGAAAGAAGAUGGAAGACUACACUUCCCAGGACGCUUGCAUUCUUGCCAAUUAACUGAGACGGAAAGCACCAUCUACCUUUCCAAAUGACAGCAAUGAAAAGACGCUGGGUAAUUCUCCAGAGCCCCCAUUCUAUUCCUGAUAAGACCAAUGACUGCAGGGGUGAUAAAGGCUGAUUUGUUUACGUAACAGUGGAAACGACUUUGUAAUGCAUAUCAUCCUUCCAGUAAAUUUCUCAACUAUCUCCAAGAUUAUACUUUUAAAUGCAAGUUGAAUCAUCAUAAUCCACUCCUUAAGAUCUCCAGCUAAAAUCAAGAGCUGGCAGCUCUCCACAUUUUGACUGUCUCCUAGAGAAGAAUAAACACUGUGCCUGGAGCAACACUGAUUCUUCUGACUACACAGCACCAUGUGACUUGGGUGAACUGUUAGAUCCGUCAGUGAACAGAAUGACAUCUCCAUACCUUGAUGAAAAUACUGCCGUUGUAAUAAUUAAGCUCUUCCUUCAUUUUUUUCCCACUUAAUAACAAGACCCCUAUUCUCGCUCUUCCCCGAGAAAAGAAGUUACAGGAAAAUUGUGGGAUAGAAUUAAAAUAUUUUCUUGAAUCUAUGAAUAGGAGACCAUCUUUAAGUAAGAUGAAUUGUGAAGAGAGAUGAGUUGUCUUCUCUGUAAAUAAGACUCGGGAAAUGAGUACUGUGUUGAACUACAAAGUAGCAGGACUUUUAUACGCUAAAGGCACAAAAUGGUUACCCCAUGAGGCAUGAUUAAGAACUGUGACUGGAAGUUGACAUAACAGGGAUCUAAUCGAUUUCAUUUCCUGGAUACAGAACAUCU